AUGGACCUAAUCGUGUUCAGUUUUGGUGCAACUUCUGAUCCAAGUUAUGAGGAUGGAUUCAAAGGUUUUGAAUUGAAAAGAGAGGGCACACUGAAUGGAGCUCUUAUCAUCUCUGAUGUCAGUCUGUCAGACUCUGCUGUCUAUUACUGUGCUGAGAAAUGUAAGAAGUAUGUCACUCUUGUGUGUGUGGUCCAGAACUUCUACCCAGAUCAUCUCACAAUAAAAUGGGAAAUUGGAGGAACAGAAGUAACUGAAGGUGUGGCAACAGACAAUGAAGCCACCAAAAAUGGAAUAAAUAUGUUCGACAUGUCCAGCAGACUCAAAGUCUCUAGAAAGAAAUGGAACAAAGCAGAAAACACAUUCACCUGCUCAUACAGUUUCUAUAAUGGAAGUAUAUAUACUACAGAUUUCCGCACAGUUAAAGGAACUGCAGAGAGUGGAUUCAACAGAGAGGACCACAUAAAAUCAGCACAGAUGGUAAAGCUGGGAUAUGGUGUGUUCAUUGCUAAGAGUGGACUGUACGGCCUUAUCAUCUUGGUAUUUGUAUGGAGAAAGGGUUCAGCUGGCAAGUGAGGACAUUGAACUUAAUUGAAACUUCGGAUUGUAGAAGUUACCAAGAGAACCAACAUCCAGCAACACUCGGAAAGGAAAUGUUCAACAUACUGUAACAUAUAAUGGAAAUUACUUUUCUCUCUUUCACUCUGUUUCUCUCGCAAUAUUUCUCUGUUUUGUGUGUUUUGAGGAUUUACCUCUAUAAAAGUGUGCUAAAAACUGCAUAGCAAAAUAUUAGUAGUAAUUGCAAAAAAUAGUAAUUGCAAAAUAUUUGUUUAAAUUGUGGUAAACUGUUAAUAGGGAAUAUUUUUUGUUUCAUUUUGCUUCUUUCUAUUUAGUAUUAAUUCACAUCAUAUUCUCAUACUAGUCUGGCAGACUUGUUUACAGAGUUAUUAUAUAAAACAUAUAAUUAUUAUAUUUACUAUGACCUUGUAUUUCUCUCUGUUUUCUGAAUUUGUUUCAUAUAUAAAUAAAGCAAAAUCCAUAGUAUCUAAGAAAAUCCAGAAAAGCAUCCUCAAUUGUUCUAUAGAAAUAUGAUCCACCAAUCUAGGCUACUAUUUAGAGCAAAAUGACUUAAAAAUUAUGAACUGUCUUUUUCUUAGAAGUAAAUUUAUAGUAAAUUGCAACACGUUAUACAUGCAAAGGGCUUAAAAGCAUCACUCAUGUAUUUUAACCUCAACAGUCAGUGCCUGCCAUCUAUAAUGAUAUUGAAUGUACAUAUUAGAUCAUGCAACAAUACAGUAACAUUCAUUAAUCAGCGGUUAGUAGUCACAUGUAUCAGUUUACUCAGGUAACACUUUCAAUAAGGUUCAAUUUGCUAAGAUUAGCAAAUGCAUUUUGUAUC
Xyrauchen texanus (razorback sucker) is the source of this 1396-nucleotide non-coding RNA. The record is from the annotation of a RefSeq genome assembly. NCBI's taxonomy places the organism in Eukaryota, Metazoa, Chordata, Actinopteri, Cypriniformes, Catostomidae.